GACGAACGCUGGCGGCGUGCUUAACACAUGCAAGUCGAGCGGUAAGGCCCUUUCGGGGGUACACGAGCGGCGAACGGGUGAGUAACACGUGGGUGACCUGCCCUCAGCUCUGGGAUAAGCCUGGGAAACCGGGUCUAAUACCGGAUAUGACUCCAUGACGCAUGUUGUGGGGCGGAAAGCCUUGUGCGGCUGAGGAUGGGCCCGCGGCCUAUCAGCUUGUUGGUGGGGUGAUGGCCUACCAAGGCGACGACGGGUAGCCGGCCUGAGAGGGCGACCGGCCACACUGGGACUGAGACACGGCCCAGACUCCUACGGGAGGCAGCAGUGGGAAUCUUGCGCAAUGGGCGAAAGCCUGACGCAGCGACGCCGCGUGAGGGAUGACGGCCUGGUGUAACU
Molecule: ribosomal RNA, 396 nt
Filed under: uncultured bacterium
Lineage: Bacteria
Description: bacterial SSU rRNA
Rfam family: Bacterial small subunit ribosomal RNA
Source: RNAcentral